This 258-nucleotide ribosomal RNA is filed under the name Triticum aestivum (bread wheat). RNAcentral describes it as "partial small subunit ribosomal RNA". Lineage: Eukaryota; Viridiplantae; Streptophyta; Magnoliopsida; Poales; Poaceae. The record is from RNAcentral.
GUAUGGCAAGAGAUCAUUCGCAACAAGUAUGUGGGAUCCAAUGCCAUUUCUCAAGUUCAUUGGAAACCCGGGGAUUCACAUUUUUGGAGUGGCGUGAUGAAGGCCAAGGAAUUCUUUUUCCAAUUUGGGACCUUCUCGGUUAGGGAUGGUUCUCAGGUUCGAUUCUGGGAAGACACCUGGUUAGGGAACAACCCACUAAUGGUGCAAUACCCGAGCUUGUACAGGAUUGUCAGACAUAAAUUUGUCACGAUCAAAUAA